GCAUAUCAAUAAGCGGAGGAAAAGAAACCAACAGGGAUUGCCCCAGUAACGGCGAGUGAAGCGGCAACAGCUCAAAUUUGAAAUCUGGCCCCUCGGGCCCGAGUUGUAAUUUGUAGAGGAUGCUUUUGGUGCGGUGCCGCCUGAGUUCCCUGGAACGGGACGCCAUAGAGGGUGAGAGCCCCGUCUGGCUGGCCACCAAGCCUCUGUAAAGCUCCUUCGACGAGUCGAGUAGUUUGGGAAUGCUGCUCUAAAUGGGAGGUAUAUGUCUUCUAAAGCUAAAUAUUGGCCAGAGACCGAUAGCGCACAAGUAGAGUGAUCGAAAGAUGAAAAGCACUUUGAAAAGAGGGUUAAAUAGUACGUGAAAUUGUUGAAAGGGAAGCGCUCAUGACCAGACUUGGGCUUGGCGAAUCAUCCAGCGUUCUCGCUGGUGCACUUUGCCUCGUCCAGGCCAGCAUCAGUUCGUCGCGGGGGAAAAAGGCUUCGGGAACGUGGCUCCUCCGGGAGUGUUAUAGCCCGUUGCAUAAUACCCUGCGGUGGACUGAGGUUCGCGCAUCUGCAAGGAUGCUGGCGUAAUGGUCAUCAGCGACCCGUCUUGAAACACGGACCAAGGAGUCGUCUUCGUAUGCGAGUGUUCGGGUGUCAAACCCCUACGCGUAAUGAAAGUGAACGCAGGUGAGAGCUUCGGCGCAUCAUCGACCGAUCCUGAUGUUCUCGGAUGGAUUUGAGUAAGAGCAUACGGGGCCGGACCCGAAAGAAGGUGAACUAUGCCUGUAUAGGGUGAAGCCAGAGGAAACUCUGGUGGAGGCUCGCAGCGGUUCUGACGUGCAAAUCGAUCGUCAAAUAUGGGCAUGGGGGGCGAAAGACUAAUCGAACCUUCUAGUAGCUGGUUUCCGCCGA
Molecule: ribosomal RNA, 897 nt
Filed under: Hypomyces tubariicola
Lineage: Eukaryota; Fungi; Ascomycota; Sordariomycetes; Hypocreales; Hypocreaceae
Description: LSU rRNA
Rfam family: Eukaryotic large subunit ribosomal RNA
Source: RNAcentral